RNAcentral lists this ribosomal RNA (3337 nucleotides) under Peltula tortuosa. RNAcentral describes it as "partial small subunit ribosomal RNA". The stretch from base 1 to 1512 matches the Rfam family "Eukaryotic small subunit ribosomal RNA". The record is from RNAcentral. Lineage: Eukaryota; Fungi; Ascomycota; Lichinomycetes; Lichinales; Phylliscaceae.
AGUUAUCGUUUAUUUGAUAGUACCCUACUACAUGGAUAACCGUGGUAAUUCUAGAGCUAAUACAUGCCGAAAGCCCCGACCUCUGGGAGGGGUGUGUUUAUUAGAUAAAAAACCAACGCCCCUUGGGGCUCCUUGGUGAAUCAUGAUAACCGCACGAAUCGCAUGGCCUUGCGCCGGCGAUGGUUCAUUCAAAUUUCUGCCCUAUCAACUUUCGAUGGUAGGAUAGUGGCCUACCAUGGUCGCAACGGGUAACGGGGAAUUAGGGUUCUAUUCCGGAGAGGGAGCCUGAGAAACGGCUACCACAUCCAAGGAAGGCAGCAGGCGCGCAAAUUACCCAAUCCCGGCACGGGGAGGUAGUGACAAUAAAUACUGAUACAGGGCUCUUUCGGGUCUUGUAAUCGGAAUGGGUACAAUCUAAACCCCUUAACGAGGAACAAUUGGAGGGCAAGUCUGGUGGACCCGUCAGACGGUCCCCGCCCGCACGGGCGGGCUACUGACGCCAGCGAGAGCGGCCCUCCGGGCCCCUAGUCGAGCACCCGACACCGUGAUGGGUGGGUGCCGGCGAGACAACCUGGUUCGGGGGAGGCUGCCGCCGCGUCGCGGCCUGUCGAUCCCGAGCGGAGCCCCCGGCGGAUCACCCGGAGGCCCGUGUAGAGCGCGGAAAGGUGUCGGCCGGCCGCCAAGGUCGGCUUGAGGGACGUGCCAUCCCCGCCCGAAAGGGCGCGGUCCGCCGGAGCCCCCAUCAGGCGAGGGCGGAGCGGGGCGUCGACCGGGCGGUCGACGCCCGGAGAAGCAGGCCAGCAGCCGCGGUAAUACCAGCUCCAAUAGCGUAUAUUAAAGUUGUUGCAGUUAAAAAGCUCGUAGUUGAACCUUGGGCCUGGCUGGCCGGUCCGCCUCACCGCGUGCACUGGACCGGCCGGGCCUUUCCUCCUGGGGAGCCGCAUGCCCUUCGCUGGGUGUGCCGGGGAUCCAGGACGUUUACCUUGAGAAAAUUAGAGUGUUCAAAGCAGGCCUACGCUCGAAUACAUUAGCAUGGAAUAAUAGAAUAGGACGUGCGGUUCUAUUUUGUUGGUUUCUAGGACCGCCGUAAUGAUUAAUAGGGAUAGUCGGGGGCAUCCGUAUUCAAUUGUCAGAGGUGAAAUUCUUGGAUUUAUUGAAGACGAACUACUGCGAAAGCAUUUGCCAAGGAUGUUUUCAUUAAUCAGUGAACGAAAGUUAGGGGAUCGAAGACGAUCAGAUACCGUCGUAGUCUUAACCAUAAACCAUGCCGACUAGGGAUCGGGCGGUGUUAUUCUUUUGACCCGCUCGGCACCUUACGAGAAAUCAANNNNUUUGGGUUCUGGGGGGAGUAUGGUCGCCAGGCUGAAACUUAAAGAAAUUGACGGAAGGGCACCACCAGGCGUAAACCGUCGCACCGAGCCGCGACAGCCUCUGCGCCAAACAGCAGCCUGAAAGGGUCCGGUGAUGUCUGGCGCACCUAGACGGUGCCGAUCGUUAAAUGCUAGUUCAUCCCGCCGGAGGGUGAGCAACACACUCAAACUGCGGGAAACCCCUAAAGCUCCUGCUACCAAGCUGAUGUUCGGAAGGCGUCAGUGGCCGGGCUAAUGGCCCUGGGUAUGGUGAAAAGGCAAUGGAGAUGUUACAAUGGGCUAUCCGCAUCCAAACCCCUCUCGUCUGGCUGGGCCCACCGGGUUGCGCUGGAGCGUGGGGUCGGUUCAGAGACUAUAUGGGUGUGGGUUGGGUUUGCCACGUACGCCAUAUCUGUGUGCCCUUGGGGUGUUCUGAGGUCGGAUGUGACGUAUGUGUGAGGCGGGCCCUGCCUAAGAUAUAGUCCACAAGCCCUUGUAACGGAGGGUCGGAUGUAGUGGGAGCCUGCGGCUUAAUUCGACUCAACACGGGGAAACUCACCAGGUCGACCGUCUGGGCCUGAAAGAGCGAUCUGUAGAUCGGGUCGCUAGUACUGUGCAUCCCACGCGAGGAAGUCCUCGAGCUUGGGCGUGGGAGAUCCUCGCCCUGGGGGUCUGGUACGGUGCAACACCAGCUGGUACAGGGGAUGCCAAGGCUCAACCGUGGGAGGUGAGCAUGGUCAAUCCUGUGGCGAGCCCGGGUUACGUUGGGCCGUCGCAACGCGCGCCAAGCGGUGGGUUUCUCCCAGGCCUCUUUUGAUGGGGUCGCUCUGCAGGGGAAGCUUAAGGUACGCGCUAAUCCCAUGGGUAACCAUGCCUUGAUGACUAGAUCCAGGCGUCGAAGCAUCAAGGGUUCCUCCUAGGUGAGUGAACGGUGUGGAUGAUUUUGGUGCCAGACACAAUAAGGAUUGACAGAUUGAGAGCGCUUUCUUGAUUUUGUGGGUGGUGGUGCAUGGCCGUUCUUAGUUGGUGGAGUGAUUUGUCUGCUUAAUUGCGAUAACGAACGAGACCUUAACCUGCUAAAUAGCCCGGCCAGCCUUGGCUGGUCGCCGGCUUCUUAGAGGGACUAUCGGCUCAAGCCGAUGGAAGUUUGAGGCAAUAACAGGUCGACGUCAUCACAGGCCUGUCACAGUGGGGCCUCCUGUAGAAGAUUGAACCCGCUAGUUCAACGCCUUCAAUCUCCGUGGGGGAAGCCCCCCCGCUGCCGGGCGGAGGCGAGCGCCCGUGGAAUAUCCUGGGGCUUGUGGCGUGAGCAACACCACCUGGAACAGGGAACGUCAAUCCUCACGAUGAGGACACUGGCCGAUCCUGUAACGAGCUCAGUAGCGCUGGGCCGUUGCAACGCGCGGUAAGGGGUGGGCUGGUCAACAGCUUAAGGUACGUGCUAAUCCCUCGGGUAACUGAGCUCCUACAUUGAGACCCGGCAGGUCAAGGUGUAGGGGUAGUAGUAGUCUCCCUUAUUUUGCUGGGAUGUUUACUACUAGGAUAUGUGGGGUAGUGGGGUCCGCUGGUGGCCCUGCAAAAUUGUCUGUCGUGUUCAGUUGUCUUAGAGGAGUAGCGUCUGCUCCUUGGCGACUACCCAGACAGAAACCUGCAAAACCGGUUGAUCCCACUCCCACAGGAUGCUGUGAUGCCCUUAGAUGUUCUGGGCCGCACGCGCGCUACACUGACAGAGCCAACGAGUUCAUCACCUUGGCCGGAAGGUUUGGGUAAUCUUGUUAAACUCUGUCGUGCUGGGGAUAGAGCAUUGCAAUUAUUGCUCUUCAACGAGGAAUGCCUAGUAAGCGCGAGUCAUCAGCUUGCGUUGAUUACGUCCCUGCCCUUUGUACACACCGCCCGUCGCUACUACCGAUUGAAUGGCUCAGUGAGGCCUCCGGACUGGCCCCAGGAGGUCGGCAACGACCGCCCGGGGCCGGGAAGCUGGUCAAACU